ACCUCGAGUGCCAGGUUACAAAUCUGGCUGUCGAGAUGCCUAAAAAGCAUUUCAUAGCAAGGGCCGGGCAAGACCGGUGCCAGCCGCCGCGGUAACACCGGCGGCUCGAGUGGUAACCGUUAUUAUUGGGUCUAAAGGGUCUGUAGCCGGCCGGAUAAGUCUCUUGAGAAAUCUGGCAGCUUAACUGUCAGGCUUUCAGGAGAUACUGUCUGGCUCGAGGCCGGGAGAGGUGAGAGGUACUUCAGGGGUAGGGGUGAAAUCUUGUAAUCCUUGAAGGACCACCAGUGGCGAAGGCGUCUCACCAGAACGGACCUGACGGCAAGGGACGAAAGCUAGGGGCACGAACCGGAUUAGAUACCCGGGUAGUCCUAGCCGUAAACGAUACUCGCUAGGUGUCGGCCACGGUGCGACCGUUGUCGGUGCCGUAGGGAAGCCGUGAAGCGAGC
RNAcentral lists this ribosomal RNA (446 nucleotides) under uncultured archaeon. RNAcentral describes it as "bacterial SSU rRNA". It matches the Rfam family "Archaeal small subunit ribosomal RNA", at positions 378 to 824 of the family's 1478-position model. The record is from RNAcentral.